Transfer RNA from Catenaria anguillulae PL171, 71 nucleotides. It matches the Rfam family "tRNA". From Rfam's summary of the family: Transfer RNA (tRNA) molecules are approximately 80 nucleotides in length. Their secondary structure includes four short double-helical elements and three loops (D, anti-codon, and T loops). The record is from Rfam. Lineage: Eukaryota; Fungi; Blastocladiomycota; Blastocladiomycetes; Blastocladiales; Catenariaceae.
GCGCCGGUGGUGAAAUGGUAUCAUUGAACCCUCCCAAGGUUUAGGCCCGGGUUCGAUUCCCGGCCGGCGCA